AAAAGAGUGUCUGUUUUCUUACAUAUCUUUUAUUUUAAUUUUAUUUCCCCCACAUGAACCUAAUUGUUUGUUGAAUUUUUUUUGCCACAGUUGCAGUAAGUACUCGUUUGACAUGAGCUAUGCUGAGAAGACAAGCACAGAGAGUGUAGUUUUGGGCUUUGGAACUGUGAAGGCUGAAUUUGAAGGUGCUGAAAUGGCUGAGGAAAAUGGCUGCAAGUGUGGAGCAAACUGCAGUUGCGACCCAUGCACCUGCAAAUGAGGUGAAGAUAUAAAGCUUGAAGGAGAUAUAGCUGCAUAUGUACCAAAAGUACACACUUAUAAUAAUUACAAUAAUAAGUAUGUGUUGUGUUCAAUCAACUGGAUUUGAAGUUUCAUAAUAAAAUGGGCAUGG
This 391-nucleotide long non-coding RNA is filed under the name Phaseolus vulgaris (common bean). Its description in RNAcentral is "long non-coding RNA (PVUL_LNC000488)". Lineage: Eukaryota; Viridiplantae; Streptophyta; Magnoliopsida; Fabales; Fabaceae. The record is from RNAcentral.